UUGGCCUGUCGCUGCUACAUGGUAAAGCCCCAAAUUUGCCCCGUCACUGGUACACGGUAAAGCCACAAAUUUGGCCCGUCGCUGCUACAUGGUAAAGCCACAAAUUUGCCCCGUCGCUGCUACUGGGUCAGUAUCCAUCGCAACAGCUGACUUUCACCCACGCCCAAACUAGCAAUGAGCAUGGGCCACAUAUAUCAAAAUUCACGCUUGUGGGAUGGACAGAUGGAAUGGGACAGGCUACAGCAGCAGUCAUAGUUGUUGUAGUAGUAGUAGUAGUAGUAGUAGUAGUAGUAGUAGUAGUAGUAGUUGGAAAGUUUGGUUUAGUCAGCGCAACAUCUGUGGUCAUAUGCCGGAGAGAGACAGGAGGGGAAGGAAUUAUAGGAGAAGGGAACAGACCCCAGGAGACGGGACACAACCCCUGAUUAAUACCUGGUACCCAUUCACUGCUGGGUGGACAGGGGCGUAGGGUAUCGGAAAAGCCGCCCAAAUUUUUCCACUCUGCCCGGGAAUCGAACCUGGGCUCUCUCGGUGGUGAGCCUGGGUUCGAUUCCCGGGCGGAGUGGAAAAAUUUAGUAAUAGUAGUAGUAGUAGUAGUAGUAGUAGUAGUAGUAGUAACACCCAUUCACACACUGGUUAGUCUGUCUGUUACUUAAGCAAUCUCUUUUAGCAAACCAUUCCAACCGCUGUACGUGACCACAUAAAAAAAAAUAAUAAUAAAAUAAAAAAAAAUUAAUAAUGGCAGCCUUUUUUGAGCACAGCCGAGUGACAAGCAACCAACCAAUCGUGUGUGUGUGUGUGUGUGUGUGUGUGUGUGUGUGUGUGUGUGUGUGUGUGUGUGUGUGUGUGUGUGUGUGUGUGUGGAGUCCUCCCUAACAAACAAACAAACAAACAGUGCCAGAUAGAGAGAGAUGGAGGCAAUUUCAACAGACAAGACACAGACACUGGAGGGCAAAACAGUAGCAGACAUUGAAGGAAGAUGACGAAGAAGAAGAAGAAGAAGAAGAUGAGGAGAAAGGAAGAACUGAUGAACAAGAAGGAGAAAAACAAGAACAGUCCAAAACACACCAUUAGGCAUAAAUCUAUAGAGAAACACAUUAGGUCAAGUCCUGUCUGAGUGGUUAAUGAUGUGAAUAUUUUUAUAAUGGAAGAUGGAAGGUUAUUUUUAAGGUAUAUUUAACAAGCCCUAUACAGUACUGGAUGGUGAAGAUAUUUAGACAGACAUAAAAUUGAGUCUUGUUGGUUAGUUAUGUGAAUCUUUUAUAAUGGAAGAUGGAAGGUUAUUUUUAAGGUAUAUUUAACAAGCCCUAUACAGUACUGGAUGGUGAAGAUAUUUAGACAGACAUAAAAUUGAGUCUUGUUGGUUAGUUAUGAGAAUCUUUUUAUAAUGGAAGAUGGAAGGUUAUUUUUAAGGUAUAUUUAACAAGCCCUAUACAGUACUGGAUGGUGAAGAUAUUUAGACAGACAUAAAAUAGAGUCUUGUUGGUUAGUUAUGUGAAUCUUUUUAAUUGGAAGAUCGAAAGUUAUUUACAAAAGGGUGUUAAGAAGUAUAUUUAAAAAGCCCUAUACAGUACUGGAUGGUGAAGAUAUUUAGACAGACAUAAAAUUGAGUCUUGUUGGUUAGUUAUGAGAAUCUUUUUUUAUUGAAAGAUCGAAAGUUAUUUACAAAAGGGUGUUAAGAAAUAUAUAUAGUGAAUCCUAUAGAGUACUCAAUCACACAUACAUUUAAAAACAGGACAUAUGAUCAGGUCCUAUAGAUCGGUUAGUUAAAUGAAGCUUUUGUUUACGGGGAGACUAAAGGAGUUAGUACGAGAAAGGUGUUUUGAAAUAUAUACAGAAUCCUAUAAAGUACUGGUUUGUGAAGAUAUUUAAAGACAGACUUACGAUCAGGUCCUAUAGAUCGGUUAGUUAAAUGAAGCUUUUGUUUACGAAGAGACUAAAGGAGUUAGUACGAGAAAGAUGUUUUGAAAUAUAUACAGAAUCCUAUAAAGUACUGGUUUGUGAAGAUAUUUAAAGACAGACUUACGAUCAGGUCCUAUAGAUCGGUUAGUUAAAUGAAGCUUUUGUUUACGAAGAGACUAAAGGAGUUAGUACAAGAAAGGUGUUUGGAAAUAUAUACAGAAUCCUAUAAAGUACUGGUUUGUGAAGAUAUUUAAAGACAGGCUUAUGAUCAGGUCCUAUAGAUUAGUUAGUUAAAUGAAUCUUUUGUUUACGAAGAGACUAAAGGAGUUAGUACAAGAAAGGUGUUUGGAAGUAUAUACAGAAUCCUAUAAAGUACUGGUUUGUGAAGAUAUUUAAAGACAGACUUACGAUCAGGUCCUAUAGAUCGGUUAGUUAAAUGAAUCUUUUGUUUAUGGAGAGACUAAAGGAGUUAGUACAAGAAAGGUGUUUGGAAAUAUAUACAGAAUCCUAUAAGUAUACUGGACUGUGAGGAAAUUUAAAGACAGACUUAUGAUCAGGUCCUAUAGAAUGGUUAGUUAAAUGAAUCUUUUGUUUAUGGAGAGACUAAAGGAGUUAGUACAAGAAAGGUGUUUGGAAAUAUAUACAGAAUCCUAUAAAGUACUGGUUUGUGAAGAUAUUUAAAGACAGACUUACGAUCAGGUCCUAUAGAAUGGUUAGUUAAAUGAAUCUUUUGUUUACGGAAAGACCGAGAGAAAGUUCUUAUAAAAAGGUUUGGAAAUAUAUACAGAAUCCUAUAAGUACUGGACUGUGAAGAUAUUUAAAGACAGACUUACGAUCAGGUCCUAUAGAAUGGUUAGUUAUAUGAAUCUUUUGUUUAUGGAGAGACCGAGAGAAAGUUCUUAUAAAAAGGUGUUUGGAAGUAUAUACAGAAUCCUAUAAAGUACUGGAUGAUGAAGAUAUUUAAAGACAGACUUAUGAUCAUGUCCUAUAGAUCAGUUAGUUAAAUGAAUCUUUUGUUUAUGGAAAGACCAAGAGAAAGUUAUUAUAAAAAGGUGUUUGGGAAUAUAUACAGAAUCCUAUAAGUACUGGACUAUGAAGAUAUUUAAAGACAGACUUAUGAUCAGGUCCUAUAGAUCGGUUAGUUAAAUGAAUCUUUUGUUUACGGAAAAACCGAGAAAGUCAUCAAGAAAAGGGUGUUUGUAAAUAUAUACAGAAUCCUAUAAAGUACUGGUUUGUGAAGAUAUUUAAAGACAGACUUACGAUCAGGUCCUAUAGAUCGGUUAGUUAUAUGAAUCUUUUGUUUACGGAAAAACCGAGAGAAAGUUCUUAUAAAAAGGUGUUUGGAAAUAUAUACAGAAUCCUAUAAGUGCUGGACUGUGAAGAUAUUUAAAGACAGACUUAUGAUCAGGUCCUAUAGAAUGGUUAGUUAUAUGAAUCUUUUGUUUACGGAAAAACCGAGAGAAAGUCCUCAAGAAAAGGGUGUUUGGAAAUAUAUACAGAAUCCUAUAAAGUACUGGUUUGUGAAGAUAUUUAAGGACAGACUUACGAUCAGGUCCUAUAGAUCGGUUAGUUAAAUGAAUCUUUUGUUUACGGAAAGACCGAGAGAAAGUUCUUAUAAAAAGGUAUUUGGAAAUAUAUACAGAAUCCUAUAAAGUACUGGAUGAUGAAGAUAUUUAAACACAGACUUAUGAUCAGGUCCUAUGUAAACAAAUAGAAGAAAAUGAAGAAGGACGGAAAAGUAGAAGUAUUAAGCAAGUCUUCCGUGUACUAAGACAGAGAUAGAGACAGAGAGAAGGCCAUUGGGGUCGCAGGAAAUCACGGCGCUUAUAUUUAUAGGCGACCAAACACAGAUUCUUGUUUAUUUACGUCGCUUCUCUCUCUCUCUCUCUCUCUCUCUCUCUCUAGCCUGGCGCUUACCUGUCUGCUCACUUUGUUUACCCUAACGACUACAUCAGAAACGACCCACGACAAGGGCUGUAUAGGGGUCGCGCCAAACCUCUGCUGCGCGUGUGUGUGUGUGUGUGUGUGAAUUGACGAACGUACACACACACACACACACACACACAUCAACCAUCUACC
Molecule: long non-coding RNA, 3978 nt
Organism: Eriocheir sinensis (Chinese mitten crab)
Lineage: Eukaryota; Metazoa; Arthropoda; Malacostraca; Decapoda; Varunidae
Exons: 7
Source: RefSeq, a predicted model, not a curated record